This 465-nucleotide ribosomal RNA is filed under the name uncultured bacterium. RNAcentral describes it as "partial 16S ribosomal RNA". It matches the Rfam family "Bacterial small subunit ribosomal RNA", at positions 28 to 507 of the family's 1533-position model. The record is from RNAcentral.
GACGAACGCUGGCGGCGUGCUUAACACAUGCAAGUCGAACGGAAAGGCCCUGCUUGCAGGGUACUCGAGUGGCGAACGGGUGAGUAACACGUGGGUGAUCUGCCCUGCACUUCGGGAUAAGCCUGGGAAACUGGGUCUAAUACCGGAUAGGAGCCAUUUUUAGUGUGAUGGUUGGAAAGUUUUUUCGGUGUAGGAUGAGCUCGCGGCCUAUCAGCUUGUUGGUGGGGUAAUGGCCUACCAAGGCGGCGACGGGUAGCCGGCCUGGGAGGGUGGACGGCCACAUUGGGGCUGGGAUACGGCCCAGACUCCUACGGGGGGCAGCAGUGGGGAAUAUUGCACAAUGGGCGCAAGCCUGAUGCAGCGACGCCGCGUGGGGGAUGACGGCCUUCGGGUUGUAAACUCCUUUCGCUAGGGACGAAGCUUUUUGUGACGGUACCUAGAUAAGAAGCACCGGCUAACUACGUG